Molecule: non-coding RNA, 199 nt
Filed under: Lutispora thermophila
Lineage: Bacteria; Bacillati; Bacillota; Clostridia; Lutisporales; Lutisporaceae
Also listed under: 1 other name
Source: RNAcentral
AACUGAAUAUAAGAAACAGGUGCCAAUUAUGUUUUUACAAGCUAAAAGCAUGAAUUGGUGAAAAGGGAAGUAGGUUAGAUUCCUACGCGGUCCCGCCGCUGUGAUAGAGGAGCCUUUACAUAAUGCCACUGGGAAACUGGGAAGGAUGUAAAGGUGAUGAUGCUUAAGCCAGAAGACCUGCCUGUUUCGAUGCCAUUGA